ACAUCCAGAGAAUUUAGCAGAGAUGCUUUAGUGCCUUCGGGAACUCUGAGACAGGUGCUGCAUGGCUGUCGUCAGCUUGUGUUGUGAAAUGUUGGGUUAAGUCCCGNAACGAGCGCAACCCUUUAUCCUUUGUUGCCAGCACGUAAUGGUGGGAACUCAAAGGAGACUGCCGGUGAUAAACCGGAGGAAGGUGGGGAUGACGUCAAGUCAUCAUGGCCCUUACGAGUAGGGCUACACACGUGCUACAAUGGCGCAUACAAAGAGAAGCGACCUCGCGAGAGCAAGCGGACCUCAUAAAGUGCGUCGUAGUCCGGAUUGGAGUCUGCAACUCGACUCCAUGAAGUCGGAAUCGCUAGUAAUCGUAAAUCAGAAUGUUACGGUGAAUACGUUCCCGGGCCUUGUACACACCGCCCGUCACACCAUGGGAGUGGGUUGCAAAAGAAGUAGAUAGCUUAACCUUCGGGAGGGCGUUUACCACUUUGUGAUUCAUGACUGGGGUGAAGUCGUAACAAGGUAAGCGUAGUGCU
RNAcentral lists this ribosomal RNA (527 nucleotides) under uncultured bacterium. Its description in RNAcentral is "bacterial SSU rRNA". It matches the Rfam family "Bacterial small subunit ribosomal RNA", at positions 984 to 1509 of the family's 1533-position model. The record is from RNAcentral.